GGAUAAUGUGUUUAUAUUUACACUAUAAAAAUAAUUAGUUAAGAUAAUAUUAUCAA
This 56-nucleotide transfer RNA is filed under the name Halice sp. JL-2018. Its description in RNAcentral is "tRNA-Val". The record is from RNAcentral. Lineage: Eukaryota; Metazoa; Arthropoda; Malacostraca; Amphipoda; Pardaliscidae.